GCCUCCAGAAUUGUGAGAAAACAAAUUGCUGUUGUUUAAGCCACUGGUCUGUGGUAUUUUGUUAUAACAGCCUGAGCACAUCAAUACAGACGUCGUCUAUCCUUUCCAGUAUCCAACAGGGAAAGCUCCCUAGAAAUUCUCUUCUGGCCCCAAGAGGAAAAGCAAAGGAACCAGAAAAUCCUGGACAAGUGAUAGCUGCUUUAAUGGCUCUGACUCUUGAUUUUGAAGAAGUGCUGAUCCUUUUGUGAGACAAGUGUUUGACUCGGACUCUAAGUGCAACAGUUCACAGAUACUUAAUUGGGCAUCUAGGACACCACCGGACACAAGUUCCCUAUCUUUGGGAAGCCUCAUGCAUUGUAAAGAACACAGGCUUGGAGUCCAAAGCCUCUCUUUGAAAUUCCAUUUCUGCCACUGUAUAGCUGUGUCAACUUGGCAGCACUGGCCUGGUACACAACAGAUAUGCAAGAGCAGUUCCUUAGCUGAAUGAUCCAGCAGAGGAAAAGCCAAAGCACACCUCGGUGUCUUGGGACCCUCAGUCUCCUCCCUUGAGCUAGGUGUUACCCGGAAAUCCAGUGACCUCGACAUAAACAAUUGUGCAUAAUCAAUUGCAAGCCGUAGCCUGUUCUGGAUAGGAAAUUAGACCCAUUCCAAAGUCAAUGGAGGAAAACCAGACACUCCAAGCAAGAUGACCAUGGGACUGCAUGGAGCCUUCUCUAAUUAGAUGAUGUCCCAGAUUGCCUUCUUGCUAGAUGUAUAUAGCAGGUGCACUGAACACCACUGUCACCUACCAGAGGAACUUUUCUGUUGCAUUGUGUUCCAGUGUUGAAGUGGAAUGGGAGGUGGCAGGACACUUAACCAAAAGGAGCAAGAAGGUAUCUGGUCUAUUCCCAUCUUCCUGCCCCACCUGUCCAAAGUCAGAGUCCAGGGCACACUCUGACUCGGCCCUCUCCCCUUCCUGAAGACAAUCUUAUUCCUCAAAAGGAGUCAUGGCCUGCUUUGAUCCUAACCUGGCCCCCAAGGCAACCUCAGUUUCUAGAGGUUCUUGAUGACCCAGUUCUUUGGGACUAACCCCAAUGUGAUAUGCUGACUCUAUCUUUCUGAACAAGGUCCACGGACUGACCCAUAUUCUGCAAAGAAUGAAAGAGAUUUCAAAUUAGACCUGCAUCAUAGUAUUGGAGAUGCCCCAACAAAUUAGAAGGCCAGGAAGCAUGAAGCAUUAGACUAGGGUACAGAAAAUCCCAGCACUGCACACAGCAUAUUCAAAAUCAAGAACAAGAGAACUCUACUGGAGAGUAAAAUCUAGGGCCCGAAUGUGAUUAUAUGCCUGGUGAUGAUGGUAACAAUGAAAAAGAACAUAGCACCAGAAAAAAAGUAUUCCUAAUGAGACCAAUUCUUAACACUGGUUAAACUAUAAAAUGGGAGAAGACAAGUUUUAUUUUUCCUAUAAAACCCACACUAAAGUAAUCAUUGAAAUACUAAAUGUAACCCAAUGUCCAUGAAACUGUGGCCACUCACCAAAAAAAUACAACAGAACUCAUAUGUAUGAUCAAAUUUAUUGUAAUUGAAUUAAGUGACAAUACUAAGCUGAACUGCUCAGUCUUCUUAGCUUGUGACUCAUGGUAGUCAAAUUGAACCUAAAGUAAUAAAACACAACAGUGGCUAAGAAAC
This is a long non-coding RNA of Puma concolor (puma), 1668 nucleotides long. RefSeq lists it as uncharacterized. The record is from RefSeq and is a predicted model, not a curated record. Lineage: Eukaryota; Metazoa; Chordata; Mammalia; Carnivora; Felidae.